RNAcentral lists this ribosomal RNA (448 nucleotides) under uncultured bacterium. Its description in RNAcentral is "partial 16S ribosomal RNA". It matches the Rfam family "Bacterial small subunit ribosomal RNA", at positions 30 to 468 of the family's 1533-position model. The record is from RNAcentral.
AUUGAACGCUGGCGGCAUGCCUUACACAUGCAAGUCGAACGGCAGCACGGGGGGUAACCCCUGGUGGCGAGUGGCGAACGGGUGAGUAAUAUAUCGGAACAUGCCCUGUAGCGGGGGAUAACGCGUCGAAAGAUGUGCUAAUACCGCAUACGCUCUACGGAGGAAAGCGGGGGUUUUCAGGCAACUGAGGACCUCGCACUAUAGGAGUGGCCGAUAUCGGAUUAGCUAGUGGCGGGGUAAAGCCCACCAAGGCGACGAUCCGUAGCUGGUCUGAGAGGAUGAUCAGCCACACUGGAACUGAGACACGGUCCAGACUCCUACGGGAGGCAGCAGUGGGGAAUAUUGGACAAUGGGCGCAAGCCUGAUCCAGCGAUGCCGCGUGUGUGAAGAAGGCCUGCGGGUUGUAAAGCUACUUUCAGUAGGGAAGAAAGCCGAGUGCUAAUAUCAC